Molecule: non-coding RNA, 109 nt
Organism: Acanthosepion pharaonis
Lineage: Eukaryota; Metazoa; Mollusca; Cephalopoda; Sepiida; Sepiidae
Source: the annotation of a GenBank genome assembly
UUGUGGCCAGAUCAUGUUUGAACACAGGUUCUCAUGCCAUCACCAAAGUUAAGCAAUGCUGAGCCUGGUCAGUACCUAAAUGGGUGACUGCUUGGGAAUUCUAGGUGCU